GGCCUCUUGAGUAUAAUUUAAGGUCUGACCUGCCCACUGAGGGAUUAAAUGGCCGCGGUAUUUUGACCGUGCAAAGGUAGCAUAAUCACUAGUUUUUUAAUUGAAAGCUUGAAUGAAAGGUUUGAUGAGGAAGAUUCUGUCUCUGUGAAAUUUUAUUAGAAUUUUAUUUUUAAGUUAAAAAGCUUAAAUUUAAAUGGAAGACGAGAAGACCCUAUAGAGUUUUAUAGUUAAGCGGAGUAGAAAUAGCUGGAGGAAUUUAAAAUAUUGGUUUUGUUUAAGUAUUUUAUUGGGGUGAUAGAAAAAUUGAUUGAACUUUUUUUUUACAAAAACAUUGAUUUGUGGAUAAAUGAUCCUAAAAUUUAGAUUAAAAGAUUAAAUUACCUUAGGGAUAACAGCGUAAUUUUUUUUAGAGUUCUUAUCGAAGAAAAAGAUUGCGACCUCGAUGUUGGAUUAAAAUUAAUUGUUGGUGUAGGAGCUAAUAUAUUAGGUCUGUUCGACCUUUAAAAUUUUACAUGAUCUGAGUUUAGACCGGCGUGAG
RNAcentral lists this ribosomal RNA (538 nucleotides) under Trigonopterus sp. 938 AR-2022a. RNAcentral describes it as "partial large subunit ribosomal RNA". It matches the Rfam family "Bacterial large subunit ribosomal RNA", at positions 1819 to 2625 of the family's 2925-position model. Lineage: Eukaryota; Metazoa; Arthropoda; Insecta; Coleoptera; Curculionidae. The record is from RNAcentral.